UAUUACAAUGAAGAGUUUGAUCCUGGCUCAGGAUGAACGCUAGCUACAGGCUUAACACAUGCAAGUCGAGGGGCAGCAUGGUCUUAGCUUGCUAAGGCCGAUGGCGACCGGCGCACGGGUGAGUAACACGUAUCCAACCUGCCGUCUACUCUUGGACAGCCUUCUGAAAGGAAGAUUAAUACAAGAUGGCAUCAUGAGUCCGCAUGUUCACAUGAUUAAAGGUAUUCCGGUAGACGAUGGGGAUGCGUUCCAUUAGAUAGUAGGCGGGGUAACGGCCCACCUAGUCUUCGAUGGAUAGGGGUUCUGAGAGGAAGGUCCCCCACAUUGGAACUGAGACACGGUCCAAACUCCUACGGGAGGCAGCAGUGAGGAAUAUUGGUCAAUGGGCGAGAGCCUGAACCAGCCAAGUAGCGUGAAGGAUGACUGCCCUAUGGGUUGUAAACUUCUUUUAUAAAGGAAUAAAGUCGGGUAUGGAUACCCGUUUGCAUGUACUUUAUGAAUAAGGAUCGGCUAACUCCGUGCCAGCAGCCGCGGUAAUACGGAGGAUCCGAGCGUUAUCCGGAUUUAUUGGGUUUAAAGGGAGCGUAGAUGGAUGUUUAAGUCAGUUGUGAAAGUUUGCGGCUCAACCGUAAAAUUGCAGUUGAUACUGGAUAUCUUGAGUGCAGUUGAGGCAGGCGGAAUUCGUGGUGUAGCGGUGAAAUGCUUAGAUAUCACGAAGAACUCCGAUUGCGAAGGCAGCCUGCUAAGCUGCAACUGACAUUGAGGCUCGAAAGUGUGGGUAUCAAACAGGAUUAGAUACC
RNAcentral lists this ribosomal RNA (800 nucleotides) under Phocaeicola vulgatus. RNAcentral describes it as "bacterial SSU rRNA". It matches the Rfam family "Bacterial small subunit ribosomal RNA", at positions 1 to 786 of the family's 1533-position model. Lineage: Bacteria; Pseudomonadati; Bacteroidota; Bacteroidia; Bacteroidales; Bacteroidaceae. The record is from RNAcentral.